This 464-nucleotide ribosomal RNA is filed under the name uncultured Klebsiella sp. RNAcentral describes it as "bacterial SSU rRNA". It matches the Rfam family "Bacterial small subunit ribosomal RNA", at positions 338 to 795 of the family's 1533-position model. Lineage: Bacteria; Pseudomonadati; Pseudomonadota; Gammaproteobacteria; Enterobacterales; Enterobacteriaceae. The record is from RNAcentral.
CCUACGGGAGGCUGCAGUGGGGAAUAUUGCACAAGGGGCGCAAGCCUGAUGCAGCCAUGCCGCGUGUGUGAAGAAGGCCUUCGGGUUGUAAAGCACUUUCAGCGGGGAGGAAGGCGUUAAGGUUAAUAACCUUGGCGAUUGACGUUACCCGCAGAAGAAGCACCGGCUAACUCCGUGCCAGCAGCCGCGGUAAUACGGAGGGUGCAAGCGUUAAUCGGAAUUACUGGGCGUAAAGCGCACGCAGGCGGUCUGUCAAGUCGGAUGUGAAAUCCCCGGGCUCAACCUGGGAACUGCAUUCGAAACUGGCAGGCUAGAGUCUUGUAGAGGGGGGUAGAAUUCCAGGUGUAGCGGUGAAAUGCGUAGAGAUCUGGAGGAAUACCGGUGGCGAAGGCGGCCCCCUGGACAAAGACUGACGCUCAGGUGCGAAAGCGUGGGGAGCAAACAGGAUUAAUACCCCUGUAGUC